RNAcentral lists this ribosomal RNA (253 nucleotides) under uncultured bacterium. RNAcentral describes it as "partial 16S ribosomal RNA". It matches the Rfam family "Bacterial small subunit ribosomal RNA", at positions 524 to 776 of the family's 1533-position model. The record is from RNAcentral.
UACAGAGGUCCCAAGCGUUGUUCGGAUUCACUGGGCGUAAAGGGUGCGUAGGUGGGUUUGUAAGUCAGUGGUGAAAUCUCCAGGCUUAACCUGGAAACUGCCAUUGAUACUAUAGAUCUUGAAUUUUCUGGAGGUAAGCGGAAUAUGUCAUGUAGCGGUGAAAUGCUUAGAUAUGACAUAGAACACCAAUUGCGAAGGCAGCUUGCUACAGGGAUAUUGACACUGAGGCACGAAAGCGUGGGGAUCAAACAGG